UUCUUAUUGGAUGAUGAUGACUACCAUGUGUCAUGUUCUGAUUGAAUGUCGAAUUCAUGGAAGAUGAAAUACAUUGUUAUUGUCAUUGGUCAAUCAGAAUAUGACACGUGGUAGUCAUUAUCU
Non-coding RNA from Glycine soja, 123 nucleotides. The record is from Rfam. Lineage: Eukaryota; Viridiplantae; Streptophyta; Magnoliopsida; Fabales; Fabaceae.